RNAcentral lists this ribosomal RNA (442 nucleotides) under uncultured bacterium. RNAcentral describes it as "partial 16S ribosomal RNA". It matches the Rfam family "Bacterial small subunit ribosomal RNA", at positions 338 to 795 of the family's 1533-position model. The record is from RNAcentral.
CCUACGGGUGGCAGCAGUGGGGAAUAUUGGGCAAUGGAGGCAACUCUGACCCAGCAACGCCGCGUGAAUGAUGAAGGUCUUCGGAUUGUAAAGUUCUUUUCUAAGGGAAGAAGAAAGUGACGGUACCUUAGGAAUAAGUCUCGGCUAACUACGUGCCAGCAGCCGCGGUAAUACGGAGGAUGCGCGCGUUAUCCGGAUUUAUUGGGUUAAAGGGGUGCGCGGGCGGAUUUUUAAGUCAGCGGUAAAGUCGUGGGGCUCAACCCCAUCCAGCCGUUGAAACUGGGGAGCUAGAGUGUGCGAGAGGUAUGCGGAAUGCGUGGUGUAGCGGUGAAAUGCGUAGAUAUCACGCAGAACCCCGGUUGCGAAGGCAGCAAACCGGUGCACAACUGACGCUCAGGCGCGAAAGCGUGGGUAUCAAACAGGAUUAGAUACCCCGGUAGUC